GGUGAAGACUCAUGUCUGUCUCCGUUUUCUUGAUGAUUUGCAACAGCUGCACGUGUUCUGUGACAAUCUGUCUGAGGCUAAGAAGCUGUGCUUGUCUUGCAGGGAUCACUUCUCUACACCACUCAGCUGAUAAAGAAUAAAACAUGAUUCAGAAA
Pogoniulus pusillus (Red-fronted tinkerbird) is the source of this 155-nucleotide long non-coding RNA. RefSeq lists it as uncharacterized. NCBI's taxonomy places the organism in Eukaryota, Metazoa, Chordata, Aves, Piciformes, Lybiidae. The transcript is spliced from 2 exons. The record is from RefSeq and is a predicted model, not a curated record.